This 242-nucleotide unclassified non-coding RNA is filed under the name Glomeraceae sp. RNAcentral's name for it is "partial contains 5.8S ribosomal RNA and internal transcribed spacer 2". The stretch from base 1 to 65 matches the Rfam family "5.8S ribosomal RNA", at positions 84 to 154 of the family's 154-position model. The record is from RNAcentral. Lineage: Eukaryota; Fungi; Glomeromycota; Glomeromycetes; Glomerales; Glomeraceae.
GUGAAUCAUCAAAUUUUUGAACGCAAAUUGCACUCUCUUCGGAGAGUAUGCCUGUUUGAGGGUCAGUUUUAAUAAAAAUUGUGUUUUUUUGUGUGUGUGAGGCUACGGAGUUUGGGUAAUUUUAAUAUAUUUUUGGUUUUAAGUGGUAUAAAAUUGACUGUUUUUUUGCAUUUUAGAUGUACAUAAAUUUUUUUUUUUAUGCGUCUGUCUUAAUGCUCAUAAUCCUAUUAGAUGCGAUCAUC